UAAACCUAGAGGUUUCUACAGGGGUGGGAGGUGAGGAGGUAAACCUAGAGGUUUCUGCAGGGGUGGAAGGUGAGGAGGUAAACCUAGAGGUUUCUACAGGGGUGGGAGGUAAACCUAGAGGUUUCUACAGGGGUGGGAGGUAAACCUAGAGGUUUCUACAGGGGUGGAAGGUGAGGAGGUAAACCUAGAGGUUUCUGCAGGGGUGGAAGGUGAGGAGGUAAACCUAGAGGUUUCUACAGGGGUGGGAGGUGAGGAGGUAAACCUAGAGGUUUCUACAGGGGUGGAAGGUGAGGAGGUAAACCUAGAGGUUUCUGCAGGGGUGGAAGGUGAGGAGGUAAACCUAGAGGUUUCUACAGGGGUGGGAGGGGAUAAUAAACCUAGAGGUUUCUGCAGGGGUGGAAGGGGAGGUAAAGAAUAGUGUACACUACUGAUUCAUGUUUUAGUUUGAUUCUUAUUACUGUAAAGAAUAGUGUACACUACUGAUUCAUGUUUUAGUUUGAUUCUUAUUACUGUAAAGAAUAGUGUACACUACUGAUUCAUGUUUUAGUUUGAUUCUUAUUACUGUAAAGAUGAAAUGGGAUUUUUCUCACUCUUGCAUUUCUUCUGUAGAGCUUAAAAACAUUUCCUUUCUGUUUUUGCUAUUUUUUCUAUGACGAUCAGAUUGAGUGAUUGAUUAACCUCCCAACCCAAAGAUCCCGCCAAUUCACAUCGUGUCAGUGAUUUGAUUGGCUCCUCUCUCAAAGCUGCACGUUGUUGACGUCCCCUUCAGCCAGUCAGCAGGAAGGGGGGUUACCCCCUGUAACAGACAUCUCCUCCUCCUCUAGAUGACUCUGUAGUGAAGGAAGGGGGGGUUACCCCCUGUAACAGACAUCUCCUCCUCCUCUAGAUGACUCUGUAGUGAAGGAAGGGGUGGUUCCCCCCUGUAACAGACAUCUCCUCCUCCUCUAGAUGACUCUGUAGUGAAGGAAGGGGGGUUCCCCCUGUAACAGACAUCUCCUCCUCCUCUAGAUGACUCUGUAGUGAAGGAAGGGGAGGUUCCCCCUGUAACAGACAUCUCCUCCUAACAGACAUCUCCUCCUCCUCUAGAUGACUCUGUAGUGAAGGAAGGGGGGGUUCCCCCUGUAACAGACAUCUCCUCCUCCUCUAGAUGACUCUGUAGUGAAGGAAGGGGGGGUUCCCCCCUGUAACAGACAUCUCCUCCUCUAGAUGACUCUGUAGUGAAGGAAAGGGGGUUCCCCCCUGUAACAGACAUCUCCUCCUCUAGAUGACUCUGUAGUGAAGGAAGGGGGGUUCCCCCCUGUAACAGACAUCUCCUCCUCCUCUAGAUGACUCUGUAGUGAUGGAAGGGGGGUUCCCCCCUGUAACAGACAUCUCCUCCUCCUCUAGAUGACUCUGUAGUGAAGGAAGGGGGGGUUACCCCCUGUAACAGACAUCUCCUCCUCUAGAUGACUCUGUAGUGAAGGAAGGGGGGGUGGUUGUUGUUUCGGCCACACAGCCAACAGAUAGUUCAAUAUUCAAUACUGUUCAAUCGUUGACCCCUGGCAUUUCUAUGAAUUCUAAAAGAACCUUAUCCGAUAGAUUUUAAUCGUCUUAUGAUCACUAUCAAGGGUUUAUUAAAUGAAGUUGAUGCUGCUGCUAUUUAUGACUUUCUUUUGCCUUAUCAUUUCACAGAGAGAGAGAGGGCCUUUCAGAGACUGUCAGAGAGUCUACACCAUAGAGAGAUACAUUCAAAGAUGUUCCAUUGAAUUCUAUGGGAAACACACAGUAAAGUAAUGACAUGCAUUCCCAACAUGUCAAUAGUGUUUCAGGGGAUUAGUUAAAGCAAGGCGAGGCACAGAAUCAAUCAUCUUGAUCAAAUAAUAGUUGAAUAUAACUUGAAUACGUAGUUAUUUGAUAUGUAAGGAGAUGUAUAAAUCAGUAAUGCUGUGAAGUCUGACUGCAAAUGUAGCUGAUCUCAAAGACCGUGAAGUCUGCACAUAGUAAACAAAUUCCAAAGACCGUAAACACAGUCUGCACAUAGUAAACUAAUUCCCUAAGACCGUAAACACAGUCUGCACAUAGUAAACAAAUUCCCUAAGAUCGUAAACACAGUCUGCACAUAGUAAACGAAUUCCCAUAUUCUACUACUCUUCAGCGCUCGGUUCUCCUAGCUUAGCACCAAUGGUUCCAUGUUCUGUUAGAACCCUCUGAACUGAUAGCUUAGCACUAAUGGUUCCAUGUUCUGUUAGAACCCUCUGAAUUGUCACAGAACCAUAAAACGUAGAUAUGGAAUGAUCUUAGGUCGUCUGUGACUUGAUGUUCCAUGGCCGGCUUGCUGUCCUAUCUGGGCAACGGGUGGGGCAGUCAUGACACGGUUGGGACUUGAUUGACCUUUCUGUUCUAUGAUCUUUUAAAAGCACGUAGGCAUUACUACCAUCGCUUCUCAAAUGGCACCCUGGCCAUAGUGCACAUUUGGGAUGCGGUCUACAUUUCUUUCAAAUGAAGGUUUGAAGGGGGUAACUACAUGAAGAACAUAUUAAUACAUAUAUUAUAUAUUAUGUAUAUAUUUUACUAAGACUGACCACAAAUAAACGGUCCUUCACUGAGACGGAGAGGGCUGAAAACAGAAUGGGUUCUAUAAUAGAACUCUAAUGGUUCUGAACCAUAGGGUGGGUUCUAUAAUAGAACUCUAAUGGUUCUGAAUCAUAGGGUGGGUUCUAUAAUAGAACGCUAAUGGUUCUGAACCAUAGGGUGGGUUCUGUAAGAGAACUCUAGUGGUUCUAGGGUUCUUCUGACUCUGUGCUCCUGUCUGGCUUCAUAGUAACUGCUUGUCAAAGCUUCUGUCAAGUCGUUUCCCAAAUGUUCCAUCUGUAUAGCAUGUCAAUAAAACACAUUUUGUCUGGA
Oncorhynchus tshawytscha (Chinook salmon) is the source of this 2883-nucleotide long non-coding RNA. The record is from Ensembl. Lineage: Eukaryota; Metazoa; Chordata; Actinopteri; Salmoniformes; Salmonidae.